This 1482-nucleotide long non-coding RNA is filed under the name Citrus sinensis (sweet orange). RNAcentral's name for it is "long non-coding RNA (CSIN_LNC003382)". The record is from RNAcentral. Lineage: Eukaryota; Viridiplantae; Streptophyta; Magnoliopsida; Sapindales; Rutaceae.
UGUUAAAGCUAAGACUCGAGGACGACCCUCCCAAAAGCUUGAUAAAUCUACCCGCCGAGAUCCAUCAAGAUUUGAGUAUGUAGUAUCCGCACAGGAUAAUCAUUCUCCAGACAUUAUGUCUUCAAGUACAACUACAAAAAAACCAAAAGGGCAACGAAAAAUGAGUGUUUCUCAAACAAAAGCACCAAAGCAUGCUUCUUAUAUUGAUUCAUUUCCAUUUGGUUUGAGGCCUUAUAUUUGUGGUUUUAGAGAUGUUGUUGCAGAUGGUAAUUGUGGUUUUCGGGGAGUGGCUGACCUAAUAGGUAUUGGUGAAGAUAACUGGGCACAAGUCAGGAAAGACUUAAUUGUUGAGUUGCAAAGUCACUUUAAUGAUUAUAAAAGAGUCUUUGAAUAUGCUGGUAGAGCAGAGGAGGUACUUCAUUCACUUUUAUACUUUGAGAAUAACCCAGGGAGAGAGUAUUGGAUGACCAUGCCUGAAAUUGGUCAUAUUAUUGCUUCUAAAUAUAAUGUGGUAUUACUACAUAUAUCAGAUGUGCUGAAUCUAACAUUCCUUCCACUUAGAUCUAUUCCAUUAUCACGCUCCUCGCAUAAAAUCAUUGCUAUUGGAUUUUUUAAUAGAAAUCAUUUCAUCGAGGUAUGUAAAAGUUUAGAAAUUCAAAUUAUGCUACAAUAUCUUAAUUAUUGGACUAAUUUUUCUAUGGCUUUUUUUUUUUUUACAGGUGUUCAUGCUUCCAGCUUCACUUAUUCCUCCUAUUGCGAAUAGUUGGAUCAAAUAUCAUGAACCAUGUGCAGAAGGCUGGGCAACACCAUACAAAACUAAUAUACUUGCUUUCAAGGAUUUGGUGUUUGAAGUUACCACAUAAGAAACAAUUGAUCUAGCUAGUCAAUGACAGUAUCAGAAAAUUUUGAACCAUUUUAAUAGUCAUUUUAUUCGUUUCAUAUUUUUAAAGAAAGACUUUGUAAAAGCUGGAAUUCUUUAUUUUAUUGUUACUCAAGAUGACAACCUGUCUCUACUCUUUUUGUUGUUAUUAUUUUUUUUUUAACAUUUUCGAGUUUACUCCAACUGCAAACUAAUUUAUGAAUUAUGAUCUACAUACUAUAAAUUUAAGUAAUGCUACAAUUGACUGUAAAUAUUAAAAUAUCAACAGAAAAAUGAAAAAUAACUUAAAAGAGACAAAAUAAAUAGUACAUGAAAUUAAAAUUCAGCAUUUUAAAAAUUAAGAAAGUUACCUUUUUAUCUUAUUUUCUGGUGAGGAAUUAUCGACAUAUGCCACUCAUCAUCAACAAGAUUCAGGAAGAAAUCAAGACCCAUGAGAGAAAUUAAGAAAGAAGAAAGUAAUUAUGAAGCAAAGGACGAGCUGAACGAUCAUCAGAAUUAUUUUCCCACCGACAUGUUUUCCAGUGCCCCAGUUGUCUUUCUCCACAAAGGUUCGCAGUCUUUCGAAGAAUUCGUGAUUCUGCAUUUUCAGAAGCUUGUGCUCA